Long non-coding RNA from Ctenopharyngodon idella (grass carp), 1289 nucleotides. RefSeq lists it as uncharacterized. The record is from RefSeq and is a predicted model, not a curated record. NCBI's taxonomy places the organism in Eukaryota, Metazoa, Chordata, Actinopteri, Cypriniformes, Xenocyprididae. The transcript has 3 exons.
UCAUGACGCAUGUUCACAACCUAGUAAAACGCGCGUGGAGGACUGCGAACUUGUGUUUUCACUGCACUUCAUCUCAUUAAAGAACCCGCGUUACUACGUAACCGAGCAGCCGCCAAUUCGCGUCGAGUGAAGAGCUUCUAUCCUAGCUGUGAGACCUGUUGGUUAAAAGAUUGAUCUUCAAUACACACAAUCAAGUAAAGAUCCUUAGCGAUAUAUGACAACAUAUGUUUUCAGUGGAAAUCCAAGCAACACUAGAUCAACUACCAGAGCACUGUUUCUUUUGCUUUGAGCUGAGGGAGGGGAAAGCUACAUGUCAGAUUAUGACUGAGCUGUCCUACAGUUGCAACUACUUCCACCCCUAGAUCCAAUCUAAAUAAAGUGUGCCCAUCUGGUGUGCUCAGAGGGUCAUGAACCACCUCCCUGGGACCUAAAAUCACCAGGUCCAGGAUACAAAUUGACAGAGAACCAUGGCUCUAGCACCACUGAGCGGAUCACAAGUCAACCCGUCCCUUGCUGUGUGCUAACAAUGCACUGCUGCAUGGGUGGCUGCGGGGAGGGAAGAGGACUCUCUCCUUUCAUGUGCCACAUGGCUGGAGUCUGAAUAUGGGCCAGAAGGGGCUUGUUAAUACCAUUGUUCCCCUGCACGGUGGCAUACGUCCUCACCAUAUAAACUUUGUUCCGAUAGUUUGCCCUUUUCCCCCAGCCCUAAUUCCCCAGUGGCAGAUGCACUUUUAUUCAAGUACGUGUUCUUUGGUUGUUAAUCUCAAGAGCUCAAUAGGAUUAGAGGCUAUGUGCAGCUCACCAGCUCUGUGAAGCGAGAAAGAGCGGCCGACUGAGGAUGGUCCGCAUGAUCCUUUGAUCAGUCUCGCUCAUCCACGCGACGUGCAAUACCCAAGUGUAGGACGCUCGCACGUUGUGAACUCCAUCUGACUAACUGUUUUGGAUCCUGUCAGUAACGUGCUUGUCUCUGUGUAAGUGUGGAAAUAAGUUUGAAUACUUGUGAAUGCAAUACUGAUGUUGUAUCAAGAGGAUCGAUCCUCACAUAAAAAUAUCUUUACCAAGUCUCAUAACUAGUAAUUGUAUCACUUAUUUUUUUGUGGAAAUUAACUUUCAAGUGGGGAAAAAUGAACUGACAGCUCUCAUUCAAACUAAUAGUGUAUUGACUGACACAGAAACAUAACCAAACACACUAUAUAUAAGGCACAGCUAAAUGUGACACUUAUUAUAAUGGGUUGGUUAUGGGUACUUUUUUUUUUUUUUUACUGUACUGUAUUCUAUCCCCUUACACU